AGAGUUUGAUCAUGGCUCAGGACGAACGCUGGCGGCGUGCCUAACACAUGCAAGUCGAACGGAGAAUUUCAAGAAGUUUACUUUGCGAAAUUUUUAGUGGCGGACGGGUGAGUAACGCGUGGGUAACCUACCCAUAAAUCCGGGACAACCCUUGGAAACGAGGGCUAAUACCGGAUAAUCUUAAAGCUUGGCAUCAAGGUUUAAGGAAAGGUGGCCUCUGAGUAUGCUACCGAUUAUGGAUGGACCCGCGUCUGAUUAGCUAGUUGGUGGGGUAAAGGCCUACCAAGGCGACGAUCAGUAGCCGGCCUGAGAGGGUGAACGGCCACACUGGGACUGAGACACGGCCCAGACUCCUACGGGAGGCAGCAGUGGGGAAUCUUCCGCAAUGGACGAAAGUCUGACGGAGCAACGCCGCGUGUAUGAUGAAGGUCUUCGGAUUGUAAAGUACUGUCUUUGGGGAAGAACGAGUGGUUUGAAAAUAUUGAGCUACUAUGACGGUACCCAAGGAGGAAGCCCCGGCUAACUACGUGCCAGCAGCCGCGGUAAUACGUAGGGGGCAAGCGUUGUCCGGAAUUAUUGGGCGUAAAGGGCGCGUAGGCGGGUAUUUAAGUCCGGUGUGAAAGAUCAGGGCUCAACCCUGAGAGUGCAUCGGAAACUGGGUAUCUUGAGGACAGGAGAGGAAAGUGGAAUUCCACGUGUAGCGGUGAAAUGCGUAGAUAUGUGGAGGAACACCAGUGGCGAAGGCGACUUUCUGGACUGUAACUGACGCUGAGGCGCGAAAGCGUGGGGAGCAAACAGGAUUAGAUACCCUGGUAGUCCACGCCGUAAACGAUGAGUGCUAGGUGUAGAGGGUAUCGACCCUUUCUGUGCCGCAGUUAACACAAUAAGCACUCCGCCUGGGGAGUACGGCCGCAGGGUUGAAACUCAAAGGAAUUGACCGGGGCCCGC
Molecule: ribosomal RNA, 948 nt
Filed under: uncultured bacterium
Lineage: Bacteria
Description: bacterial SSU rRNA
Rfam family: Bacterial small subunit ribosomal RNA
Source: RNAcentral